RNAcentral lists this long non-coding RNA (6635 nucleotides) under Marmota monax (woodchuck). The record is from RNAcentral. Lineage: Eukaryota; Metazoa; Chordata; Mammalia; Rodentia; Sciuridae.
AAAAAUAAAAACCACAGUGACAGAAUCCCAUUGAUGAUGGCCUGCCUCCAAUGUGGCAUCCCUCUAGCAGAUAACUUCAUAACCAUUUGGGUGUCUUUUGGUUUAAGAUCACAGAAAUAAACUUUUGCUACAUUUUUAACCAUAAAUUGUAUCAUGUUUUAUGUAUUGUUGCCUUCCACCACCUGAUUUGUUAUCUUGAAAUAUUUUUUUUCUUUGAAAAGUUAGUUUCAAUAGAAAUAUAUGCUCCCAUGGCACAAUACGAAAAAGAUGGAAACGAUGAACAGGAAAAGCCUACUUUCCCUCAUUUGACAGAGGAUGUCUCCAAAGGAGCCUCCAUAUCCCUUAACUUAGGUUCUCUGGAUACUUGUCGACGCCUGGCAUAAAUAGAAGUGCCACAUUCUUCCUCACUGUUUGGAAGCCCUCAGAGAGAAAGUGUGUUCCCUUCGCCACCAGCAUUUCCAAAACUGCGCCCGUAUCUAGUCGCGGCGGGUCUGCGAGUCGGUACUGGGAGCAGCGAUCUGUGGCGGACACUGGGAACUGGAAGCGACAGUCCUGGGAGUGGAGGGGUAUCUUUGGAGAAAGAUGACAGAAGUUGAGGGCAGAAGUCCAAGGGGGAAGAAGAAAGGAAAGGAUCCCGCGUCAGGAGGACAUUUCGAGUUGGGUGGAGAGAAGAGAGCCCCUGCGCGGAGUCAGACUGCGGGUUUUCUAGGUCCCACUUGACUUUUCGCUCCCUCGGGGCCUCCCGGAUACUGUGACCUCUUAGAGGCCUGUCAAGCUGGGCUAACUGGCCCUUCUGCCCCAAGAACACCUCGCACUUGGCUGGGAGCAGGGUGGAGGGAGAUUGCCUUCAGUGGACUCUACGUCCGGCUCCUGUCCCUGGACACGUCUUACAACAGCUGGAUCGCGGGGGAAACCUCAUCUGGGACCCCAGCCCACGCAGGCAACUGCCUCGACUUAGCGCCCUUUCCCAGCCGCAGACUCCGAGGCCUGGGAAGAGCCCGCCGCCCACCUGCUACCUGGAGAGAAGGUUGGGGCUGGUAGGCCUUAGGGACAUGGCCUUGGGCCUGUCCUUUUUUGCCCUCUCCUGAUGUCUCGCCAGCAUCCAAGGGCGGGUGGCGCGGGGCCGUGGUUAAAGGGUGUCACCUGCGUGGAUAAGUAAGUGGGCGGAGUGACGCAUCCGGGCGCAGGAGCAGCUUUCCCCAGCGCCCUCGGCCCGGGAGCUUCCGGUGGCAAAGGCAGGCGCCGCCUCGGGAGACGCACGCACUCGGACGCCCUCGCUUACGCCGGAAGCCUCAGUCUCCCUGUCUGCCAAGUGGGUGGCCAGCGACCCCCGCGUCUUAGACUUACUGUGGUCCUUUAGGGAAGCCCACCAGCCCUAGUCCUGCUCUCUUGCACCCACGCGCCCCCAGUCCUGGCUCUUCUGAUCGUGAUGCAGGGGGUAGGUAGUGGGGGCACUGGGGCGCCCUGACCUCUAUCCUCCCGAAACCCGGCAGGUGGGCGUUCAGCUGCCAGAGGCCUCCGCGUUCCCUCCCAGCUUGGAAAGUGCUGGGGGGCGGGGGGAAGCGGGGGAGGACCGGAGGCAAGGCCGACCCAAAUCCAGCGCCGCCAGCUCCGGAACCAGAGCCAGGUUGGGCCCCCUCCAGAGCCAGACUCAGGCCGCAAAGGUUUUUCGGAGGCGAGUGUGAGCUGGGCCGUAGAAAGUCGGAGUGGACCCGACCCCUCCGGGCGCUGGGCCACGCGGACACCGGCAAAAGGCCUGCUGCUCCCCUGGGUGCCAGCUGCCUGCGGGGCUCGGCGGAUUACCGCCUGAGUCUUCUCGCGGGAUCCAGGGCCGCGCCAACCCCCGCGGGGCCCGGAUCCCUGGCUUGGCUCCGCCGAGUUCUGACUCGCGCGGGUCCCGCGGGGCCAAGCCCAAGUUCAACACUGAUCUCCAGCUCUGCGCCGGUGCUCAGAGUGCCGCGGCCUGCCCCUUCCUUUUACUGGGAGGGAUGUGCCCUCUCCUCUCUUCUUUCCCGGUUGGACGCGAGACAGAGUCCUCUGCGUGUCUCUGGGACCAGGCUGGGAAUUGCCUUCCUCUCCUAGUGUGUCUUCAGCGCCCCCUGCAGUGCGUCUCCUGCACGGCAGCGCAGGACGCAUUUCCAAAUGGAGCUGUAUCCCCUGCCUUACCUUUCUUCCACCAGGCCCUCUUGGCCUUGCCUCUGGCUCUGUUUGCCUGGGGCCUCAGAGUUAGGCUUCUUAGAAAAAACAACGAAAAUGUAAAGCUUACUGAAUUAUAAUAUAAACAUCCACAUAACCAUCACCCAGGCCAAGAAAUAGUACUUUCCCAGGCACCCCUUACUACCCUUCUGAGUCCCAUUCCAGUCCCCACUGCCCCCUCCUCCCCAAAAUGCUCAUGGUCUUCGAUUUUGCAAUAAUUAUUUCCUUGGGUUCUUUAUGGUUUUUAUUACCCAGGUGUGACUCUCUAGACAUUAAAGAUUAGUCUUGCUCUUUUAAUCCAUAGGUUCCUUUUCUCUUUUUCUUAUAACGCAUCCAUGGACGAAGUUGAGUCAUUUCUCUGUAAAGAUUUUCAAGUCUGGAUUUCUCUGAUUGCAUUUUCAUGGUGCAGUACAAUACAACCCUCUGUUCUCUGUAUUUCCUGCAAGUUGAAAACUGGAUCUGGAGGUUCUAUCAGACCUUAGGUUCAAAGUUUUCAGUUAGACUCUAGGUUGUGGGGUGCUCUUUUAUAAGGAGAUAUGUAAUGCAAAGUUCAAUUUUUUUUUGAGAUUGUGUUAAUGAACUUUCAUUACUGUGACAAUAUACCUCAGAUAGACAACUUAAAAAUAGAUUUAUUUUGGCUCAUGGUUUCAGUCUUCUGUCAGUUGGCCCAUUGUUUUUGGGUCUGUGGCUAGGUAGUAUAUGAUGGUAGGAGUACAUAUUGGAGGAAACUACUUACCUAAUGGCUGUCAGGAAGCAAAAAGAGGAAGGGGCAGGAUUUCAUUAUCCCUUUUAAGGGCAUACUCCCAGUGACCUAACUUCCUUGCACUAGCUUCACCUCUUAAAGGUUCCACCACCUUCCAGUAGUGCCACAGGCUGGUGACCAAGCCUCCAACACAUGGGCCUUUGGGGGUCACUUAUCUAUUACAGCAGAGAUGUUUAAUGCUAACAUUUGCUAAUUCUUUGGGGGAUGGAAAUGGUAAUGUUCUAAUUAUACCAUUUCUUUUUUAUUUAUCAGAUGGAUAAAUUUUGUAGAGACACUUCUCAUGUAUGUGGUCACUUAGUGGAACAGUUCAUAGAGGAAAGGCAGGAUAAAUGCUUGUUUCUUUGCAUUUAUUUAUCCAUUUUCAAGAUAAUGAAUUGCUAUCUGUUAUCUUUCUAAGUUGAUGAGCUAGUUGGGUGUAGUGGUGCACGCCUAUAGUCCCAGUGACUUGGGAGGCUAAGGCAGGAGGAUUGUAAGUUGAAAGACAGCCUAAGUAAUUUAGAAAGGCCCUGAGCAACUCAACAAGACACUGUCUCUUAAUAAAAUACAAAAAUACAAAAAAGGGCUGGAGAUGUAGCUCAAUGUUUAAGUAUCCCUGGGUUCAAUCCCCAGUACCAGAAAAAAAAAGUUGAUGAAGGAUUUAAAUAUAUAUGUUAUAUAUUUAAUAUAUAAUAACAUUUUAGUUAUUAUCAUUAUUGAUGCUCCAACUCUCCCAUUUUUGUCUAGUUGGAGUCUCUUCAGGAUAACUCUUGUCCUUUUGAUGUGACCCCAGUUGUCUUUGAAUGCUGCCUUGCUACCUGUUAUGACAAGAUGUUUCCAGUUCAUCUUGUAUAUUUAUUGCUCCACAUUUAGAUCAACUAAUUCUCCAGGAAGACUUGGUUGUGACGUGUGGAGGCAGGAAUUAGGGAUGGACACACACACACAUGGGUUGGUCCCUGGUGGGUUGUAGCCCUAGGAAGCUUUAUUGUCUAGGCUCUGGAUGAGGAAGAAAAUUUUCCUUCUUUGAGGAAAAAUAAACCCUAGGCCUGUGAUGCAAGGUUGAGGACAAUAAUUUUUUUUUUUUUUUUUUUUUUUUGUAAAACAUCCAAGAGCUUCGUACAAGUUUUGUCUGAUGUUGGUUCUGCAGUCACCUCACAGAAGCUAACAUAAAACCACUGCAGAGAUCCACUGCCAUUACCCAGAUGUUUCAGAGUCCCACAGAGAAAGCCCCAUGGCAGGAAGCUGGCAGGCUUAUACAGAGUGCUUGAAGUCUUCUAGGCUUGCAAGGAAUAAGAUCACCUUUCCCUCCCCUCCUCAAGAUUUUCUAAGACCAAAUAGGCAAGAAACAGAAAUACAAACUCGGUCUUCAAUUAGAUUAGGCAUCAGCUAACAUUCUGAUCUACAAAAGUAGGUGGGAAGACUGCUAAAGGAAGCGAGGAUUCAAUUCAAAAGAGAAAAUGGAGACAAACUUGCAAGGAACUAUAAAGCUGGCAGAGCACACAGCGUCAAUGCAAAGGGCACACUCUUGAGUGUAAAAUCAAAUUCUCUUGCAAAAGUAGGAAUCCAGACUGGACAGGAGCUUCCCUGGAGUUGGUGUGGUUCCAAAAAGGAGAGAAGUUGAAGUCCAAUAAAGAAGUACACAGAAAGAUGUCAUAUUUACAGGGAGCAGAACUGCUCUGUAGAGAAAAGAAGAAAGACUUUUGCUUCCAGGAGCCCUACAGCACUUCCCAGCUCCUCUUCACUGGCUCCGGGGAGGUAAAGACUAAAAUAACUCGAGAAAACUCUGGGUCUUAAAGUAAUUUUGCCAGCUUGAAACAUUCCCUACAUAAGGUCCUGCAAAAAAACUGGUUCAACAAACAUAACCCCUUCCCAAAGAAAACUGUAAAUCAAUCUCCCUAUCCAAACAACAUAAACAUUCUAAAUAAAAUGUUAGGGAUUUUAGCCACUGAAAAUACAGCAAUGAAAAAAACCCUUAAUAGUUCUUAAUUAUGUCAGAUGGUGAUAACUUUUAUGGAGAAAAAUAAAACAGAGAAAGGAUGGUAGAGAGUGAAGCCAUUUUAAUUAAGGCAAUAAUUGAAGUCUAUGUGACAGGGGGAAAAUGAAGGAAAUGAUAUUGCAGAAGAAUUUGAUCAUGAUCGGCUCCUAGAGCCUGAAAAUGCAUUUAAGAAAAUUCAAUAUACUUUUAAAAAAAUAUUUAUUUUUUAGUUUUAGGUGGACAUCUUUAUUUUAUUUUAUUUUUAUGUGGUGCUGAGGAUCGAAUCCAGUGCCUCAUGCAUGCUAGGUGAGUACUCUACCACUGAGCCACAACCCCAGCCCCUCAAUAUACUUUUAUGAUUAAAAAAAUAACACUUAGAAACGGGAAUAUAUAGAAAUUUUUUCCUUUCUUUCUUUUUAAGAGAUGGAGUCUUACUAUGUUCCCCAGCAUAGCUCUGAAUUCCUGAGCUUCAGUGAUCAGAGUCCAGUCCCUCCAAGUAAAAAAGAAAUUUCUUUAGCAAAAACAAACAAAAACAAAAAUACCUCAACUCCAAACCAACAAGGAUCCAUAACCAAAACGUACCCUGAAGUAAUUCACCAUAAACAGACAUCAGCAGAUAACAUAAAUAGGAAUUAGAAUCCAAAAACUUUAGAAAAUAGAACAAUCUGAUGACACUAUAAUAUAAAUUUCUCUUAAUUGGCUCAAGACCAAGAAGAUUGCAUUGAAACCAUUAAAUAAUAUUAUGAAAAGGAACAGGAAAAUUAGAAAAAAGAAAUUAGGUAAAAAGAACUGGAACUGAAAAGACAAUGCCAUUUAGAAAGGAGAACUCCACUCAACAGGUUAAAUAGCGGAUUAACUACAUAGGAAGAAAGAAUUUGUGAAAUAGAAUGUGGCAGAGAACAUAACAGAAAACAAGAAAGGGAAUAAAUACAGAAAGAAGUUUGGGUAAAAAGAGAAUAUAAUAUGCAUCAUAAUUUUAGGAUGAAAAAUUGGAAGGAAUGGUGAAGAGGUGAUUUAUUUUAUUUUUUUACCCUUUCUGAAACUGGGGGUUGGAUCCAGGGCUUCAUGCAUGCUAGACAGGCAUUCUAUCACUAAGCUACCUCCCCAGCCUUGUGAAGAGGGGGGUCUUUAAAAAUUUUUAGAAUUAUUGAAAGACAUGCAUCUCCAGAUUCAGAUUUUGAGCAGGAAAAAUUAACUCAAACCUUGACUGUCUUAGUCAAUUUGUGUUGCUAUAAUAAAAUACCUGAUUCUGAGUAAUAUGUGAAGAAAGAGAUUUAUGUAACUCAUAGUUCUGAAGGUUCAAGAGCAUGGUGCUGGAUUCUGCUUUGCUCUGGUGAGGGAUCAUGGCAUCACAGUGGUGGUAGCAUAUGAGGAAGAGGUAACAGGAAGCAAGAGGGAGAGCAGAAACAGGGGAAUUUGCUUUGUAACAACUCAUUCUCUAGAGAAUUCACUCCUUGAGACCAGCAUUAAUCCCUUGCAAGGGCAAUUCCCCCAAGAUGUAAUACCUCCCACUAGGCCCAGCCUCUUAAAGGUUCCACCAUCUCAACACCACACCAGGGACCAAGCUUUUAUCAUGUGAACUUUGGUGGGCAACACAUGCAAAUCCUAUCCAACUACCAUUGACAUAUGGUAAUGAAGCUUUAGAAUAUGAAAGACAAAUAAUAACUUAAUUCACAACAGGGGAGGAAAGGUAGACUAUACAAAAGAACAAUUAAACAAGAGACU